Molecule: long non-coding RNA, 1971 nt
Organism: Manis pentadactyla (Chinese pangolin)
Lineage: Eukaryota; Metazoa; Chordata; Mammalia; Pholidota; Manidae
Exons: 3
Source: RefSeq, a predicted model, not a curated record
ACGAAGAGGACUCCCCGACAACUACUGGGCGGGGAGAACUCAGAAAUAGCUAGCGGAACACCGCCCGCCCUAGGCCUUCGCGCGCUUACUUGAGCUAGCUCUAUUCAAUCGUGAAGACUAUCUCCGACAUUUCGGUUCUCGUGGCGCGAGCACAGGGCAGGGGCGUGGUCUAGAACCCCCUAGAGACCAAAGACUGAGGAAAGAGCGUGGCCCGUCUCACCAAAUCCCCCAAAUUGCAACGCCCCCUCCUUCCUGCUUUGAGGGACCGUCGCCUGGAGUGGACCUGGGGGAGGUUGGUAGUGGAGGAGUCCUGACUUCUCUCUCUAUUCAUGCAGCCCUCUGGCCCCCUCACAGGACGUCUACCGCACUGCCUCCUUUCUGGCCCGAACUUUUUCUCUCAUCACGUGCCUGGCCUGAGCCAGUCGGCUGCCCUGUAACACGAUCACCGCGGCCAGCCUCCCGACCCUCCCGAGUAAUUGCAGUCAGGCGGCAGCGCCGCGAUAGCAGCCGCCCAGCUAGGGGCUGAAAGGGAAGCGAAAGCAGGCUCAGGCUGAGACCUGGACCUUGGAGAAUCUGGAAGACAGCCCGCUGCAGAGGGCUCCUUGCACACGGUAAGUUCUUCAAAAAUGCUCCUGGAAGGAAUGGAUGAGCUUCUAAAGAUCACAGACGAUGCGUCAUUAGCUUUGCAAGCUCUUGACAAAGAAAAUGGUGAUGAUGAGAGCCUGGGAAAAGGCCGGGUUGAGACCCUGACUUGUAAGUGAAGUUCCUGUGGUAUGUACAGAAAAAAGAGUCCUGAGAAUAUUAAAACAAAUAAACCCCAAAUCCCCUCCCUUCCUUCCCAAACAGAAUGGUUAUCUCAACAAGUUCGAUCAAACUUUUCAUACUUCCCAACAAGCACUGAGGAGGGAAAUCCAUGGUGAUAGGAAGCUUCUACCUGUUUGCAAAUGGUUUGCAAGUCUUUCCAUCUCUGAGUAUUCCCCAGCUUGAGACAUUUCCUUUGACGUUUGGUUCCUUCUCAUUAAGACACAUGACAGGCUCAGCCCCAAAGGUUAGCUAGUGCCACAACCUUCCUCAUGCUUAAAUGUUUGAGCUUUUCAGAACUCCAGGCAGCAGGCCAUCUGCCAGACUGAAAAUGAUCCUGCCUUAUCCCAGAAUCCUAUCACUGUGUGUAGGGUGGCUUCUCUGCAUGGGCCCUUAUCCACUUUGAGGAUGUGGGCCAAACCCAAAUUACUAAGUAACAUCUGUUGUCCUAGGUGUGAGGCAGGGUCACUUACUAUUGGUUUGGGCUGAGACUUCCUGUUCUGAAAUGCUUGCUCAGCUGGCCUUCUGGGAUCCUCAGAUGACACAGAAUAUGACUACAGAUCACCCCCUGACACUCAAGUCAGCAAAGGAAUCUGGCUGCCAUCUGGAUCAGAACAGGAUUCAGUGCCCGUACUGCACUCUUCUCUUCCAUGGUUUUCAUAAGAAACCCAGUGAGGCAGAACUCCACACCUAUAAGCCACAACAGGCUCUCCUGUUGUCACUCUUGUGACAGAGGGAGCUGGAGGAGGGACAGGUGGCAAAGAAGCCUGCCGGGGAGUGCUGCUGCAGGAUGACUGAAAUCCAUUCCCACAGCUCCCAGUGGGGGUUGGGCUGACACCACACCAAACAUUCUGAAGCCUUUGCUUAGAUCAGAUGCUGUAUCCCUGACUGGGGUAUCAAAAUGUUCCAGUAUUUCUCCCAGAAACAGGCUUUUCUGCUAAGCUGAGUGCACCCCUCCUGCUGUAAUGUAAUUCACAGUGGAGAUGGUGAGCAGGCUUGUCUAUCACCUCCUUUUGCUAUCCUAACUCCUCAAACCCUUGAAAGCAAUUUUCUUCAGGCUAAGUAAUCUAUAAGAAAUGUGGCUUAAACACAGAGAAGACAAGUAGUGAUUUUACAGCAUCUUACUAUGUUGAUGGACAGUGACUAUAAACGGGGAUGUGGGGGGGACUU